RNAcentral lists this ribosomal RNA (384 nucleotides) under uncultured bacterium. Its description in RNAcentral is "bacterial SSU rRNA". It matches the Rfam family "Bacterial small subunit ribosomal RNA", at positions 30 to 418 of the family's 1533-position model. The record is from RNAcentral.
AUUGAACGCUGGCGGCAUGCCUUACACAUGCAAGUCGAACGGCAGCGCGGGGCAACCUGGCGGCGAGUGGCGAACGGGUGAGUAAUAUAUCGGAACGUGCCCUGGAGUGGGGGAUAACGUAGCGAAAGUUACGCUAAUACCGCAUACGAUCCAAGGAUGAAAGCAGGGGACCUUCGGGCCUUGUGCUCCUGGAGCGGCCGAUAUCUGAUUAGCUAGUUGGUGGGGUAAAGCCUACCAAGGCGACGAUCAGUAGCUGGUCUGAGAGGACGACCAGCCACACUGGAACUGAGACACGGUCCAGACUCCUACGGAGGCAGCAGUGGGGAAUUUUGGACAAUGGGGGCAACCCUGAUCCAGCAAUGCCGCGUGUGUGAAGAAGGCCUU